Molecule: ribosomal RNA, 295 nt
Filed under: uncultured soil bacterium
Lineage: Bacteria
Description: partial 16S ribosomal RNA
Rfam family: Bacterial small subunit ribosomal RNA
Source: RNAcentral
AGAACGAACGCUGGCGGCAUGCCUAACACAUGCAAGUCGAACGAGACCUUCGGGUCUAGUGGCGCACGGGUGCGUAACGCGUGGGAAUCUGCCCUUGGGUUCGGAAUAACAGUUAGAAAUGACUGCUAAUACCGGAUGAUGACGAAAGUCCAAAGAUUUAUCGCCCAGGGAUGAGCCCGCGUAGGAUUAGCUAGUUGGUGAGGUAAAGGCUCACCAAGGCGACGAUCCUUAGCUGGUCUGAGAGGAUGAUCAGCCACACUGGGACUGAGACACGGCCCAGACUCCGUACGGGAGG